Molecule: ribosomal RNA, 292 nt
Filed under: uncultured bacterium
Lineage: Bacteria
Description: partial 16S ribosomal RNA
Rfam family: Bacterial small subunit ribosomal RNA
Source: RNAcentral
GUUACAGCCGCCGCGGUAAUACGUAGGGGGCAAGCGUUGUCCGGAUUUACUGGGCGUAAAGAGCGUGUAGGCGGCCAGACAGGUCUGUUGUGAAAACUGGAGGCUUAACCUCCAGACGUCGACAGAAACCGUCUGGCUAGAGUCCGGAAGAGGAGAGUGGAAUUCCUGGUGUAGCGGUGAAAUGCGCAGAUAUCAGGAAGAACACCAAUGGCGAAGGCAGCUCUCUGGGACGGUACUGACGCUGAGACGCGAAAGCGUGGGGAGCGAACAGGAUUAGAUACCCGUGUAGUCC